Non-coding RNA from Styela clava, 231 nucleotides. The record is from RefSeq and is a predicted model, not a curated record. Lineage: Eukaryota; Metazoa; Chordata; Ascidiacea; Stolidobranchia; Styelidae.
UAUAUAUCCACAAGAGUAAGCUAUCCAUUGAAGUCUCCAUUGUAAAAUAUAUAUAUUUGACCAUUCAUUUUUGGUAACGUUUCGUUGCAAUUGAAUCACGAAGAGCCCGUGAUGGGUCAAGAUACACCCAGGUUCCAAACCAAGAAGAUGGCACAUGAGAGGAUAUAUGUUGACUGAUUCAAAUCCUUCGACCGUUAUUCCUUUCUGUUUAAUAAAUGUAUGGUAAGAUUA